GGUGAACGCUGGCGGCGUGCCUAAUACAUGCAAGUCGAGCGAACAGACGAGGAGCUUUCUCCUCUGACGGUAGCGGCUGACGGGUGGGUAACACGUGGAUAACCUACCUAUAAGACUGGGAGAACUUCGUGAAACCGGAGCUAAUACCGCAUAAUAUAUUCAACCGCAGGGUUCAAUAGUGAAAGACGGUUUUGCUGUCACUUAUAGAUGGAUCCGCGCCGGAUUAGCUAGUUGGUAAGGUAACGGCUUACCAAGGCAACGAUGCGUAGCCGACCUGAGAGGGUGAUCGGCCACACUGGAACUGAGACACGGUCCAGACUCCUACGGGAGGCAGCAGUAGGGAAUCUUCCGCAAUGGGCGCAAGCCUGACGGAGCAACGCCGCGUGAGUGAUGAAGGUCUUCGGAUCGUAAAACUCUGUUAUUAGGGAAGAAAAAAUGUGUAAGUAAAUAUGCACGUCUUGACGGUACCUAAUCAGAAAGCAACGGCUAACUACGUG
RNAcentral lists this ribosomal RNA (497 nucleotides) under uncultured bacterium. Its description in RNAcentral is "partial 16S ribosomal RNA". It matches the Rfam family "Bacterial small subunit ribosomal RNA", at positions 28 to 507 of the family's 1533-position model. The record is from RNAcentral.